UACGUAGGUGACAAGCGUUGUCCGGAUUUACUGGGCGUAAAGAGCGCGCAGGCGGUCGAUCAAGUCGAGUGUGAAAGCCCCCGGCUCAACUGGGGAGGGUCAUUCGAUACUGAUCGACUCGAAGGCAGGAGAGGGUAGUGGAAUUCCCGGUGUAGUGGUGAAAUGCGUAGAUAUCGGGAAGAACACCAGUGGCGAAGGCGACUACCUGGCCUGUUCUUGACGCUGAGGCGCGAAAGCUAGGGGAGCAAACGGG
This 253-nucleotide ribosomal RNA is filed under the name uncultured bacterium. Its description in RNAcentral is "partial 16S ribosomal RNA". It matches the Rfam family "Bacterial small subunit ribosomal RNA", at positions 524 to 776 of the family's 1533-position model. The record is from RNAcentral.